CAAAUGAUGCUGAAGAAUGCAGAUGGCGCGUUCUGUGUACAAAUGAAGGGAGAAAUAUUCCAUGCUUAAAUUCUGAAUGUAGCCUGGUAGUUUGCAGUUGCUAGGGUCACAUACCCUGAGUAUUCGUUGGAUCAGGUGUAGUUCUUCAUGGAUGUUAGAGGGAUUGGCUUCUCUUUUGUGGUAUUCGGAGCAUAUCAUUUUUAGCGCUGUUUUACUCAGACUUUCACUUAUGUUCCCAGACAGAAGCUGUGAAUCAGUGUUCGACUCACUGUAUGUAUGUUUUGAUCCAAUGUCAGAAUCCAUGAAUAUUUGUUGCGAGUCUGUCUGCAUUUCCAGAUUCUGUGUCACAAUGUGUUUCCUCAUAGUCCAUCUCUGUUUGAGAAGUAGAGACUAAUAAAGAAAGAAUACAACAUACCUUUUUUUUCUUAAAGUAAAGAAUCCAAUAUGCUUGUUUGCUUCUGUUAAGAAAAAGUUAGCAAUGUAGAAGAUAUUCCAAGUUGGAAAACGCUGGCCUGAUGACAGAUAACAGUGUCCAGGUGCAGAUAAAGCGUAAGAGAGCAUCAAGUGCAAAAACAACAGCAGGAUAUUAAGUAACUGAGGUAAAAUGCAAAAGAAAAGUGAUUGUUUUAUUCUACUGGCCGUUUAUAAUAAGGCAUAAACAAGAUCAAUAAAAAUUCAGAAGACAAAAUUGGUUUAAAAGCAGAUUUGCCAGAAGUAGUC
Molecule: long non-coding RNA, 720 nt
Filed under: Danio rerio (zebrafish)
Lineage: Eukaryota; Metazoa; Chordata; Actinopteri; Cypriniformes; Danionidae
Description: lncRNA si:zfos-480g10.2 (ENSDARG00000097798.2)
Source: RNAcentral